AGCAGCCGCGGUAAUUCCAGCUCCAAUAGCGUAUAUUAAAGUUGUUGCAGUUAAAGAGCUCGUAGUUGAAUUUCGGGAUCAAUACGUCGGUCGUGCUUCGGUACGUACUGGCGUCAUUGAUUUCUCCCUUCUGACGAACCAUGAUGUCAUUAACUUGGUGUCAUGGGAAAUCAGGACUGUUACUUUGAAAAAUUAGAGUGUUUAAAGCAAGCUAACGCUUGAAUACAUUAGCAUGGAAUAAUGAAAUAGGACGUUCGAUUCCUAUUUUGUUGGUUUCUAGGAUUGACGUAAUGAUUAAUAGGGAUAGUUGGGGGCAUCAGUAUUCAAUUGUCAGAGGUGAAAUUCUUGGAUUUAUUGAAGACUAACUACUGCGAAAGCAUUUGCCAAGGAUGUUUUCAUUAAUCAAGAACGAAAGUUAGGGGAUACGAGACGAUCAGAUACCGUCGUAGUCUUAACCAUAAGCUAUUCCGACGUAGGGAUCGGAUGAUAGUUAAUUUUUAAUGACUCUACG
RNAcentral lists this ribosomal RNA (511 nucleotides) under uncultured Glomus. Its description in RNAcentral is "SSU rRNA". It matches the Rfam family "Eukaryotic small subunit ribosomal RNA", at positions 569 to 1092 of the family's 1831-position model. The record is from RNAcentral. Lineage: Eukaryota; Fungi; Glomeromycota; Glomeromycetes; Glomerales; Glomeraceae.